Triticum aestivum (bread wheat) is the source of this 67-nucleotide non-coding RNA. The record is from Rfam. NCBI's taxonomy places the organism in Eukaryota, Viridiplantae, Streptophyta, Magnoliopsida, Poales, Poaceae.
CCAUUGCUCAGUUGGUAGAGCACAAGGCUCUUAACCAUGUGGACAUGGAUUCAAGCCCCAUGAUGGG